RNAcentral lists this ribosomal RNA (252 nucleotides) under uncultured bacterium. Its description in RNAcentral is "partial 16S ribosomal RNA". It matches the Rfam family "Bacterial small subunit ribosomal RNA", at positions 525 to 776 of the family's 1533-position model. The record is from RNAcentral.
ACGUACCGGACAAACGUUAUUCGGAAUCACUGGGCUUAAAGAGUACGUAGGCUGCCUUGAAGGUGAGAUGUGAAAUCCCAUGGCUCAACCAUGGAACUGCAUUUCAAACCACAAGGCUUGAGGGAGACAGGGGUAAGCGGAACUGAUGGUGGAGCGGUGAAAUGCGUUGAUAUCAUCAGGAACACCGGUGGCGAAGGCGGCUUACUGGGUCUUUUCUGACGCUGAGGUACGAAAGCUAGGGUAGCGAACGGG